This 448-nucleotide ribosomal RNA is filed under the name uncultured bacterium. RNAcentral describes it as "bacterial SSU rRNA". It matches the Rfam family "Bacterial small subunit ribosomal RNA", at positions 329 to 794 of the family's 1533-position model. The record is from RNAcentral.
ACCCAGACUCCUACGGGAGGCAGCAGUGGGGAAUAUUGCACAAUGGGGGAAACCCUGAUGCAGCGACGCCGCGUGAGCGAUGAAGUAUUUCGGUAUGUAAAGCUCUAUCAGCAGGGAAGAAAAUGACGGUACCUGACUAAGAAGCCCCGGCUAACUACGUGCCAGCAGCCGCGGUAAUACGUAGGGGGCAAGCGUUAUCCGGAUUUACUGGGUGUAAAGGGAGCGUAGACGGUCCUGCAAGCCAGAUGUGAAAGCCCGGGGCUCAACCCCGGGACUGCAUUUGGAACUGUAAGGCUAGAGUGUCGGAGAGGCAGGCGGAAUUCCUAGUGUAGCGGUGAAAUGCGUAGAUAUUAGGAGGAACACCAGUGGCGAAGGCGGCUUACUGGACGGUAACUGACGUUGAGGCUCGAAAGCGUGGGGAGCAAACAGGAUUAGAUACCCCGGUAGC